UACACUCAGUUCUCCCAGGCGUCACUAAAUGUAUUUUGGUCCAGAAGAGCAGUUAUUACCAUAGCUUUUGCCCGAGGGAUGAGCCAGCAUCCGGCCCUCAGUUCCCCGGGCUCGAGGUGGCCAGCUGUCCCCAGCACGGGGUGAGCGCCCGCAUAUCUCCUCAGCCCACGGUCCCCUCUGCCGCCAGGCAGGCAGUGAUUCCAGGGUCACGGUGCAUGGCCACUCCUCCCGCCAGAGAAAAAUGUGCAUGUGGCAGUUGCGGACAGUUCCCCACGCGGACCCCAGGUGUCGCGCUGUCACCAAUGAGCAUCUGCUGUAUACAACAGCACUGUUGUACGGCACACUGAGUCACAGAGCCUGGACAUCUUCUCCCUGGAGGAAGCCUCCGAAUUCCCCCAGACACCCCUGCUGAGGCCUGGAAAGCAGCGGAGCCUCUACAGACUUCUCUCUUCUUCAUAAGGGACGUGGACAACCGCAAGCUUGGUGUGACACUUCUAAAAGGUCACCGCCCCUGAGCUUGAUGCCUCAUGAUCAACGGAUCCUGCCCAGACUCCCAGAGAGGGCGAUUGAUUAAUCAAUGUUCUGUCGAGGCCAAAGAGUCUAUACAUCAGGCUGUUUGGAAGGAAGCUGGCUGUAGACUGGAGUCAGGCAGAGGGAGGAGAGGCGGACGAACGUUCACCGAGUGUCCACCGUGGGCUGGGAAAAGUGCUCAGCAGUUGCCAGGUAUACGAACGACAAGCUUCUGCCCUCAAGGAAUUCACAAGGAACUUCUCCCCUUAUGGCCAGCCGGCCAUCCCCCACUGUGGAGAUGUCAAAGAGGGGAAAGGGGAAACGAUACAGUUUGCAAUUGUCUCUCUGGACUCAGGACCCAGAGAGUUUUCUAGGGCCCCCAGAAGACCUGGCUCCUGAGGCUAGCCCUGCUUACUGACCUUCAACACAAAAGUGCCUCUGUGUCCAGACCUGGAGGAACAGUCAGGGUUGUCUGGUGGGAUCGUCACAGUGCUGAGGUUGGUAAGAGCCCAGGUCAUGGGCAGAAAGGAAGGGAAACCUAUCUGGGUAUCCUGCUUCCUGCAGCCCCUGGGGGGGGGGGGGGGGGGGGGGGCGGGGGCGGGGGUUGGUGCAGGAGGGCCAGGAAUUGCUUCUGCUAGCAUUCUCUGGGGAUCACAUGGCCCAAGAGUUGGGGAAUCUUUAUGGGGACCCCCCCAAAUAGUUUAGGGUCCUGAAAAGAAGCUCUCAUAUUUCCUACAUCCCCCCACUAGCCUCAGGCAUAUGGCAGAUAGGGAUCCCACUGCAAAAGGUGCUUGGCAGUUCAAACAUGAGGUCCCAAGUCCAAGGAAGUGUUUUAACUCAUUCAACAAACACCUAUCAAGCCCCUACUUACUACCAGGCAUGUUAAUAAUUCAGGCUAUGCUCUUAAGCUGGACAGGAGAUAGAGGUCUAAGUGUAAUUUCUAAAAAGUUGAAAGUAUAAGUCUCCUACAGAUACAGAAUAAACAUGUCAAAGAUUUUAUUUAAUUCAUCCAUUAACGAGGUAACCAAUAAAAUACACUGGUUCAAAGAGCCUUUAAGGCACUGGAUUUAAAGGGAAGACACACCGGUGCACCUGGAUGGCUCAGUCGGCUGAGCGUCCGACUUCGGCCCAGGUUAUGAUCUCAAAGUCUGUGAGUUCGAGCCCCGCAUCGGGAUCUGUGC
Leopardus geoffroyi (Geoffroy's cat) is the source of this 1691-nucleotide long non-coding RNA. RefSeq lists it as uncharacterized. The transcript is spliced from 3 exons. The record is from RefSeq and is a predicted model, not a curated record. NCBI's taxonomy places the organism in Eukaryota, Metazoa, Chordata, Mammalia, Carnivora, Felidae.